This 389-nucleotide long non-coding RNA is filed under the name Mus caroli (Ryukyu mouse). Its description in RNAcentral is "lncRNA (MGP_CAROLIEiJ_G0006312.1)". The record is from RNAcentral. Lineage: Eukaryota; Metazoa; Chordata; Mammalia; Rodentia; Muridae.
AGCAGCCCCAGCAGCAGCAGGUAACUGCAGCCCCAGCAGCCUAAGAAAAGGCAGCAACAGUGAACAGGGUGUUGGAAGCAUUCCUUCUCCAUCCCAGGAAGUAGGAGAUCCUGUUCUAAGCACUAGCAAGUGGAACCUGACUCCUCCAGAAUCCCAGAUCUUCUCCAGGAGCCUGGCACCAGGGUGAGACUUGGGAUGAGAGGAAUCCUGGAAAGAGACAGAAAAACUGGCAGAUUCCCUCCUGACCCUCUCCCCUCAGAAGUGACACUCAGGGAACAUUAUAGUUCCACCAGCCUGGAGGACUCUUUGUCCCUUUGGGGAUGUGGGCUAUGAACGGAGGCUAAUCAGACAAAGUAUGGCAAGAUCAAUGGCACAAUCAGCGGAAUCUU